GGUGACUUUCGCAUGGGAGUGAAAAACAGCGCUCCUCAGAUCAGGAAUUAACCGAAAGACAUAUAAUAAAUAGAUAUAUAUUAUAGUCCUGGGCUGCUCGAGUUUUUUUCCUCCUUUUUUUUCCCACGGUCUACUAGCAAAUAAUUAUUUAGCGGGAGGAGGAAAGAGGGAAGACAGAGGAAUAACAACAAAAGAAAAUAAGACAAGCUGUACAAUCUUCAAAACCUGUGGCUGGUAGUAAUGUAUCAGUUUAUUCUGCAGCGGCGGCGAACGAUUCCUCCCUCUAAUCUCAUUAGGUCUGCAAAGCAGCCCAAUUAGAUACUAUAAAACAAACAAUCACUUUGUCACUUUAAUGUUUUCACUUCAAAAGAUUUAGGACUGAUAAAACGGUGGCUCCUAAAGUUGCCUCCGACCUUUAAAAAUUUGCUCGGAACUCAGGAUGUCCCCUUUUCUUCACCCCUUCUUCUGCCCGCCUCCCCCACAUUAGCCCCCAGCUCUCCUUUGUUCACUCGCCCUUCUUUUCAGAAAGCCAAAUAAACAGCUCCUUUGAUGUGCGGCGGCUGCCUGCGAGGAGAAGUCUGAGGGACUCUGGCUAGGCGGGCAGCGCAGAUGGAAGGGCCCGGCUGCCCGUGGACAACAGGCUCAGCCACGGCUGGCCCCAUUCGGGGCGCCUUCC
RNAcentral lists this long non-coding RNA (676 nucleotides) under Homo sapiens (human). RNAcentral describes it as "non-protein coding lnc-RPLP1-8:1". The record is from RNAcentral. Lineage: Eukaryota; Metazoa; Chordata; Mammalia; Primates; Hominidae.